RNAcentral lists this ribosomal RNA (359 nucleotides) under Fusarium solani. RNAcentral's name for it is "LSU rRNA". It matches the Rfam family "Eukaryotic large subunit ribosomal RNA", at positions 579 to 944 of the family's 3401-position model. Lineage: Eukaryota; Fungi; Ascomycota; Sordariomycetes; Hypocreales; Nectriaceae. The record is from RNAcentral.
UGCGUAAUACCCUGUGGCGGACUGAGGUUCGCGCAUUCGCAAGGAUGCUGGCGUAGUGGUCAUCAGUGACCCGUCUUGAAACACGGACCAAGGAGUCGUCUUCGUAUGCGAGUGUUCGGGUGUCAAACCCCUACGCGAAAUGAAAGUGAACGCAGGUGAGAGCUUCGGCGCAUCAUCGACCGAUCCUGAUGUUAUCGGAUGGAUUUGAGUAAGAGCAUACGGGGCCGGACCCGAAAGAAGGUGAACUAUGCCUGUGUAGGGUGAAGCCAGAGGAAACUCUGGUGGAGGCUCGCAGCGGUUCUGACGUGCAAAUCGAUCGUCAAACAUGGGCAUGGGGGCGAAAGACUAAUCGAACCUUC